Molecule: long non-coding RNA, 472 nt
Filed under: Rattus norvegicus (Norway rat)
Lineage: Eukaryota; Metazoa; Chordata; Mammalia; Rodentia; Muridae
Description: long non-coding RNA NONRATT030888
Source: RNAcentral
AGAGAAGGAAACACUGUUUAAUGAUAGCAGGAACAAAAUUGAAGAAUUGCAACAACGGAAGGAAGCUGAUCUGAAAGCCCAGUUGGCUCGCACCCAAAAACUACAGCAGGAACUUGAGGCUGCCAAUCAGGUGAUGGGGCUGGCUCCCAAGAUCCCCUGAGUGGAGAACCAGGACUGGCAGUGGGGGGAGGCAUGAGGUCUUUAGAGACCGAUUGGAAUGUUUGAGCUUUGGAGAUACAGCAAGCUGAUGAGUAUGCGUAAGCUCUCCAGGAGCUAGAAAAAUGGGAACUCAGAAACCUAAGAGCCUCAGGAAUUGGGAUAGGAGUUUAUAUGAAUCAGAGAUUCCUGAAGUGGGAGUCUAAGGACUCUGGUUGUAUGUAAGUUUGUAUGGGUCAGAACUCUCGCUGGAGUCUGGGAUCAGGAAUUAGGGUGAAUGUAGUUGCCGAACUCUCCCAUUAGAAACUGGGUGAUG